Molecule: long non-coding RNA, 2675 nt
Organism: Numida meleagris (helmeted guineafowl)
Lineage: Eukaryota; Metazoa; Chordata; Aves; Galliformes; Numididae
Exons: 6
Source: RefSeq, a predicted model, not a curated record
CCCUUUUCCUUCUAGUUUUAACUUAAUUUAAAAGUUAAUUGCCUGUCUUAACCAACUUGAUGACAGCGGUUUAAAUCUACAGGAAGUCUUGUUCUAUCUAAUUUUUUUUCCUGUUUAGGGAAGGGAAAUGCAGCUAAAAAUACCACAUGGUUUGAAUCAUGACCACAGAAGAGAAACUAUUGGGAAGAGAUACCCUGUUGGCACUGCAGGAGGACUUUGCUCAGUGUGUGCUCCCAGGGCUCCAGCUAUGGCUGCUCUCAGUCCCCACAGCACCUUCCCAGCCCAGUGCCUGAGGGUUAGGGGAUGAGAAAUUACUUGUUACUGUACAGGUAAAACCCAAAUGUGAAGAAUAGUAGUGAAGAUUUUCCUGGGUUCUUCUUUCCAGUGCUAUUACAGAUAGCAGGUACAUUUGCAGAUCUGGAGACAUCUAGAAGGAAAGAUCUGGUACCCAUGCCUGCCCACCUCCCUUCCCUCCCUGAUGAGUCCAUCCCUGUGACCUUCCCCAGCUUGACUCUGCUGGCCACGUCCAGCUGAUUAUGCAUAAUCUCUGGAGAAGACUGAUGGAAACCUUCAUCUAGAAUUCUGUAACAUCAGUAAAACCAUCCAGGAACAAUGGUUUCAGAGAGAAGAUUGAUACUUCCUUCAAGAAAACAUUAUGAACCCAGUCCAGUCUUUUUGCACUGAAUUAUGUAUGGAGUCACCACAAUUGCAAGUAUCAGUCAAUGCCUACACAGAAAUGCAAGGCUAGACAAGUAAUGGCUUUAGACUCCCUCGCAGUGAAUGUGGCGAGAGACCAGGGAAGCAGACACGCUACUAACAUCGAGGUGCCCUUCUGAGAGAUGCCUCCCCUCCCAGCCAGAUCUGCCAAAAUUAUCAGAUGGACAAUGUGGACUCUGAUCAUGAACAUGAAUUCUAGGAUGAAAUCUGUAUGCUUUAAGCAGCUGCGUUGUGCCUGCGAGUGAUUGAAAACAGCAGGGGCUUGUAGCUGUGACAGAUGCUGUAUAUGGGGCAGUAGUGUAGGUAUAUAGAGCCAUGGACAUUGUGGGACAUGAGCAACAGACUCAAAGCUGGAGGCAGCCUCUCCCCUCCCAGCAGAUACAGCAGAUUCACAGGAUACAGAAGAUAUGGCAGCUGCAUCCCCAUCACAUUGCAGCUAAUGCCACAAUUGCCUAUUGACUCAUAGAAAUGUAAUGUUGCUGGUGAUGGUGGUGGCCUUAAAAGUUUUUACUGGAUCUUGGAGCAUUUUUGUGACUCAUCAGCUAACCUUACCUGAUGGCUUUACAGUGUUGGCAUUUAUCAGUGUAUACUUGUUCUGCCUUUUCAUUCUGCUUUAUCUGAUUUUUGUACAGGAGAUAGAAGGCCUCACUUCCAUGACCUUUGCCUUUUCCUCAUCUUACACCCAUUAACUGCUAACUGCCCUCAUCAGAAAAGGCUAAUUUCUUUAUGUUGGCAAGACCAGGGCCUCAUGAAAUCGAAGGUGAAACUCUCCUUGAGAGCGGGAGUAAAAGUGGCUCCUUUUAAUCAAAGGACUUGAGGAGAAAAGCAAAACAGAAGGCAGAGACAGUAAGUUCAAACUCCAUACCAAACUCCAAAAUGAUCAAAAGCUGAUGAACAGCUCCAGUCUUCCUAGAUAUUCAUGCAUCCAGGAUGACAUGGCUGCUCUCAGAACUGAAGCCUAUUAUAGCUACCACCCUCUCAAUAAAUACCAAUCUAAUUAUAAUGCUUUCUUCAAAUCUGGAGUGUGUGGGCACAGGGCUAGUUCACUAUUGGCUGCAAUAUGAUUUUAUUUUCAGUGACUGGUAUUCAUUGGUCACAGCACAAAUUUCCUUCCAAAGUCAUAAUUUCUGAAAUGUGGCACUUUUCAUUAAGAUGACAAAUGCUGGCAUUUGGUGGGAUGUGGUAUUGAUUGCAUCAAGCUCUGAAAUAAUGGCCAGCAGCAGAACAAUACAGAAACCAACAGUGCUGGGCUGGAUCCGGCUGCUUCCCUAGGGCUUGUUUCCAUUCUCCAGUGUAUUUCUGACUUACUGUGAAUAAAGUCACUUAACACACUGAUUUGGUGUACUAUCUAUCAAGUGAACUGUUCAAAGCAGAGAUGGGGCCAGAUGACAUAGACAAAAAAAAGGUACCAUUCUGAAUGAUAGAGGCAAUUCUCCACCUGUAAGGAUUUUAUUACCUACUACUGCAAAAGUGGGUUCAAGCACUAAACAGUUUCCUCUGAGUGAAAGAAGGGGUUGGAGACCUUUCAGCAAAUACACACCACAGGGAAAUAGCACAUUUUGCAGUCCCGAGUCUUUUAAUUUCUAGUGAAUCUGGACAUUAUUUUUUAAUUUCUCAUAGUUCUCUUCAGUGAACUGAACCCAAAAUCUCAGGUUCUGAUGAGGAAUCAAAAUAGGCAUGUUCUGAUAAACCUGUCCCUGAGAAACUCUGUGAGAGUCCACUCUUUUAUGUACAAAAUGAGAGAUCAUCCUCUAUGCCCAAAUGUAUUUAAUAUCAAGGAAGACAUGAGCAAUUAGGCUGCCUUCUGCUCAGGACUGCUAGAACAGUCAAAGAGCAAUAGUUGUGGUGCCUCACGUGAGACCAGUAGCCAAUUUGUUUCCUUGCCUGACUUGUUUUUCAUCCAACUUUUUCUUGCUUCCUAACAAAUGACUACAAUAUACACAUAUAUGUAUGUAUAU